AUAUAGUUGAAAUAGCAGUCCAAUUCUAGACAAGAAAUACAGUAGAAACCUUUGCAUAGAUAGUUUUUUUAAAAAUAUGACAGAAGUUUGUAAAUAAUACAGAGGGCUUCAGGGACAAACGAAUUCAGACAGAGGUAUCUAAAUGCAAUGGCAGUAACCUGAUUAUUAAUUUAUUGUUAUUAUAAACAAGGUGAAAGUAAAGACCUAGGAACAGGAUUCCUACAUGUAAAAUGCAUGUCCUAAACAUAAUUUCUAUUGCAUAAAUAGGUGAGUAAAAUUCAACAAACAUGUUUUCUACCCAUACCUUUAAUAAUCAUCCAUAACCCUCCCCAAUUUCACUAUAAUCCCCAUUGUUAUUUACAAGUUACUACAUACCAAGUAAUUUAAAAAUACAAUAGUGAUAAAAAAGAAGAAUCUAUUCUAUAGGGAGCCUAUAGCCAGGCCCAAGAUCUCCAUCCUCACUUAUUUUGAGUUUCACAGUCAUUACCAAGGCUUGGGUGCGGCAAAGUUCCCUAAGGGUUCGUUUUAACCCCUGGCCAAUACCAAGCACCCAUAACAUCAUAGUUAGAUAAGUGUGGAAGUGCCAGCCGUGUGCAUCAAAGUUCAAUGGGUGCUCAAGGCUCCCAAGGCAGUGCUUACACUAAGGGACAGACCUAACACUUUAAGAAUAAGAUUGUGAUUAGAAUUGAGAGAGUUGAAAACAGUUGAGAGACAGUUUAAGAAAGUAGUUGAAAGAAUUGAGAGAGUUUAAGAAAAUAGUUGAAAGAGUUGGAAAAUUUGAGACACUUUAAGAAAAUAGUUGAAAGAGUUGAAGAGGUUCUUCUGAAAUCAUUUAGAUUGACCAGUUUUAGAACAACACAACAUCACACAAAUGAGAGGAAAGGGGAAGGGAACAAAUAAGCGAAGUAAACUAUUCACACAGGCAACACAUUGGAAGAAAGUAACCACACAUGGUUGCAAAAACAAGAGUUUAUUUCUUACUGUACUAAACUCUAAUACACUUAGCCUCAAACAGAGGUUUAGGUUAACCAAGUAGUCAAAAAGACAUGGAUGCAUGGUAGUAGUACAAAAGUAAACAUUCAUUGAGACAUGGGAGGGGGUAAGGGAGCAUGUUAAACGGAUCCAAAUAGAUUAGUAAGUAACAUGCUAGUGAUAAAAAG
RNAcentral lists this long non-coding RNA (1160 nucleotides) under Nicotiana benthamiana. RNAcentral's name for it is "long non-coding RNA (NBEN_LNC020806)". Lineage: Eukaryota; Viridiplantae; Streptophyta; Magnoliopsida; Solanales; Solanaceae. The record is from RNAcentral.